Molecule: ribosomal RNA, 253 nt
Filed under: uncultured bacterium
Lineage: Bacteria
Description: partial 16S ribosomal RNA
Rfam family: Bacterial small subunit ribosomal RNA
Source: RNAcentral
UACGGAGGAGGCAAGCGUUGUCCGGAAUUAUUGGGCGUAAAGCGCGCGUAGGUGGUAUUUUAAGUCUGCUGUUAAAGCCCGCAGCUCAACUUUGGAGGGGCAUUGGAAACUGAGAAGCUAGAGUGCGGAAGGGGUAGGUGGAAUUCCAAGUGUAGCGGUGAAAUGCGUAGAGAUUGGGAAGAACACCGGUGGCGAAGGCGCCCUGCUGGGCUGUAACUGACACUGAUGCGCGAAAGCGUGGGGAGCAAACAGG